RNAcentral lists this ribosomal RNA (497 nucleotides) under uncultured bacterium. Its description in RNAcentral is "bacterial SSU rRNA". It matches the Rfam family "Bacterial small subunit ribosomal RNA", at positions 29 to 518 of the family's 1533-position model. The record is from RNAcentral.
AUUGAACGCUGGCGGCGUGCUUAACACAUGCAAGUCGAUCGGUAACAGGUGUAGCAAUACAUGCUGACGAGAGGCGGACGGGUGAGUAAUGCUUGGGAAUCUGCCUAUUAGUGGGGGACAACCCGGGGAAACUCGGGCUAAUACCGCAUACGCUCUACGGAGGAAAGCCGGGGACCGCAAGGCCUGGCGCUAAUAGAUGAGCCCAAGUCGGAUUAGCUAGUUGGUAGGGAACGGCCUACCAAGGCGACAAUCCGUAGCUGGUCUGAGAGGACGACCAGCCACACCGGAACUGAGACACGGUCCGGACUCCUACGGGAGGCAGCAGUGGGGAAUAUUGGACAAUGGGGGCAACCCUGAUCCAGCGACGCCGCGUGGGUGAAGAAGGCCUGCGGGUUGUAAAGCCCUUUCGGUGGGGAAGAAAAGUCUCGACCUAAUACGUCGGGACCUUGACGUAACCCCACUAAAGAAGCACCGGCUAACUCUGUGCCAGCAGCCGC